ACAUCCAUCCCGCGUGUGGAAGUGGCCGGCGUUGGCCCUGCACUCCUGCAGCCUGAGCCACCGCAAAGGUUGGAGAAGAAGAUGGCGAUGCCCCCUUGCCAUUUCCUCCAUGUAGUCUCCGUCGUCGUCUCCAACUCUCCAUGGCCAUGGCUCAGAUCACAGUGCGUGACAGCAUACCCCUAUAGCACACUCGCCAUCGAUCGAGGUAGAGCCCCUGCAGGGUGGAGAUGGAUCGGAGCUUUUCACCAUCACGAGAGAGAGGAAGAGGAGAGGUCAGAGGCCAGUGCGCGACAGUACUUUCUGGUGAGCAGGAGAGGAGCAAGUGGCCAUGGAGUUGUUGUGCGUACAUGUUCUGGAGUGGUGUAGAGAUAGACAUCUCGCCCCUCUAUCCCUCUAUAAAUCCACCUUCUGCUCUUUCUUCUACCUCCAUCCAUCACACCUCUGCACUGUUCUUCCUCUUCCCUCUCCCUAACCCUAGCUUUCUAGCUCCCUCUAGCAGUCCUCUUGUGUAUUUGUUCCUGCUUAUGUGCAUGCCCAUCAAGCUCUAGUUUUGUUUCUAGCAUUAUAUUGCUCCAGAUGGAAUACCAUUUUUUUUGUUCUCUUUGCUCGAUCUUUAUUGCACAGUCAUGUGAAUGAGUGACAGAGAUGGUACAUAUGUUUGAUCAAAUUGAGAUUGUGUGUGCCUGGCUCCCUGUAUGCCACACAUGUAGCCCAACCCGUGGUGUGGUUGCCUGCUGUGGGUGGCGUGCAAGGGGCCAAGCAUGCAUUUUGUGUUCGAUUCUUCUGUCAGUUUUUAUCUCUACCAUAUUCUUCAUGUGUUCACGUUUCACACGCCCUAGUGUCCUUUCAUUUUGUUUGUUCUUGCAGGUGCCUAUCGAAGAAGGGCUGAUAUGCACUUCUUCUUCAGUUUUCCGAUCCUGUCAAGUUACUCAACUAGCCGCUUGCUCCGAAAAAUCAGUGAGGUUAUCCACUUGUGAUUUUUGUUUUUGGUAUUCAGCACAUGACUGAUUCUUGUGCACGUCUUGGGUAGAUAUUUCUGCUCCCUAAAUUCUUGAAAACAACCAUAGUGAAGAGUCUUGAAUUCCUGGUUUUGUUUGAGUAGAUUGAAGGGAAUUAAUGCAUUGUUCUUUUGAUCUGGUCAUGCUUGGAUUUGGGUUGUGUCCUAUUGUUUCUUUCUAUAUGCGCGGUUUUCCUACCUGACAAUCUUUUGUACUUUACUUCCUGUGUGUUCUGAGGCACAUGUGCGCCGAGUGCACAACGUUUUCUAGGAAAAUUUCCACUUUUCCUUUUUUAAAUGUAAAUUUUCAUGCAUUUGGGAUUUAUGCUGCAAAUGGCAAACGCAUAACUGCAUAAGCAUGAGUCUCUUCUUGCUAGACUACGUGAACCAAGAAAUAAUCCGGUUAAUGGUUUCUGCAUUUUCGCUCAUUUCUUUCCUCACAUGUUUUCCAGGACAACCCAUUCUUUACAUUGUAUUUCAAUAAUUAGUCUUUGAAUCCAGUGGGCGUAUCAUAUGCUUAGCAAGUCUAAUCUAUAGCACUACCUCCGGUAAGAUAUACAUUUUGACAUUUCAAAUAACAAGGAGUUUAUAGAUCAAAUUAGCUGUCCAAAAUUAUGUCAUCUAAUUUUCUAACCAAAAUGAUGUCCAAAAUACGUAAGGAUCCGGCAAGAGCUGCUUCUUGCUUGAUCAUUUGUUUUUCUUUUUGCAAAAUAAGGUUAAUUUGAAUGUGACAUAUAUAAAGCAUAUAUUCCGUGCCCCAUACACGUACGCACAUAUAAGGCUUGAAGUGAUUAAGCAGCAAGUUAAUUAAUUGACAGCAGGAAGCAACGGGUCAUGAAGUAUUUAUAUACUAUCGUUUACGCUUAAUCGCUUAUUUCCGUUUAAUUACUAGUAGUAGGUAGAGACCGGCGGAUGUAUGCUGGCCUGGUGCUGCGCAUUGUUCAUAUGUAGAGCAGUUCGAUCUACUGAACUGAUUAGAUGCAAUAUGGGCGUUGGCAUUAUUCAUUUUGUACCAUGAAUAGAUGUUCUUUUGUGUUUCCAUGAAUUGUUGCUUCAUAGUUAUUAUUAGGAUUAGGCCUUUUACAAUAUAGCUUAUCAACAAGCACCAUCGAUUUGCUGUCGCCAAAUGCCCAUGGUGAUCAAGGGCACGCAGGGAUUAGCAUGGGAUCAGCAAUGACUGCUUGUCGUUUUUGUUCUAGAAACCAAUUUGGUUUGUCAUUGUGAUAUUUUUUUUCUUUUGAUGAAAUUAUCAUUGCAAAUGUUGCAAGGUUGUAAGAGUAGCUGAGCAACCUUAAUCUCGCAUUGCAUGCUCCUCAUCUGAGUAUCUGACAGCACCAGCGCGCGCCCAUGCUCUCAGUUUUGUAUGUGCUGAGGGCUUGCAUUGGGACCCACUUGACAGAGAGACCGUAUCCAAGCUUAACACCCGUUGGGAGGCCGACCAGGACGACUCGAUCAGAUCAUAUCGAAGUUGUGUAUCAAGCUGCGUGCUGCAUAACUAACCAACCAGAGUAACAGCUCCAUGUUCGAUCAGCACCAGUACUGCAUCACAAGCAACAGAUAGCUAGGGCACCAGUCCACCACCAUGAUCUGUUGAUGAUGGUCACCAACUCACCAUGGUAUCGCCAGGGCCCACCUGCACCAUCUCACUCUCAUCAUCAUCUACGUGUUUGCUCCUGCCUCCAUGGCCAGCCAGCCAGCAGCCAUUGUUGCGCUGCCUGGACCACCACUCGAGCAGGAGCAGUUCUUCAGUGGCAGAGCUACUAAAGCUGCAGUUCUAUGAGCAAGAACGCAUGCAGGGAUCACUGAUCAGCGACCGCAUCGUCCACAAGGACUUCGCCAUGAUUUGUUGGUGUCUGUGUUGGAGUCCUCAGUGAUUGGAGCGAGCACCUGGGUCCCCCCUCUUGCAUAAUUGUAGUGAUGGAGACGGCGUGGCAGCUGCCCGGCCUCUGCUUGGAUGAGCACCUGCGGCGAUGUUGGACCCCUAGAGACAACACAUCAGUGUCCCAGUUAUCCAAAGUGAUACCACACUGAACCCUUGCUGGAAGUAACUGUCACAGUGUCCCGGAAGCAGGAGCAAGAUAACUGACCCACUGGCCACAAGAUGUGGCUGUUGGAUCACAUUAUUGUUAAUCAUUACAAUUUACAAGCUAGCAGCCCAGCAAGAAUAUGCCUUGGAAUUUGCAGUAAUUCUGGAUUACAGGCUAUGUAUGGUUUAUACUGACAAAGACUUCAGACAUUUCACCAGGUUAUAUACUUGCAAAUUUGUGUAUCACCCAAAAACAGGCACCGCCAGGUUGUACGUGCACAAUGAAAAUGUGUCAUCAAUCCAAUAUUGUACAUUCAGAAGUUUUUUCCCCUCAUAUGUACUGAUUUGGCUCAACAAUGAUGUUCAGAACUUCAGACUACAAAUGAAGCAAUUACAUCUAUACAUGAAAAAUGAAACCGGCUGACGAAUGGAUUACUCACGAUCCGAUACCCCGGUGGAUAUCAUGGAGACCUGUCCAGUGGAUAUCAUGGAGGCUUGCGUUGUCUCAUUGGACAGCAGAGGAGAAGAGUGUGCCAUCAGGGAGGAUAGGAAUGUGGA
Setaria italica (foxtail millet) is the source of this 3581-nucleotide long non-coding RNA. RefSeq lists it as uncharacterized. NCBI's taxonomy places the organism in Eukaryota, Viridiplantae, Streptophyta, Magnoliopsida, Poales, Poaceae. The record is from RefSeq and is a predicted model, not a curated record. The transcript has 3 exons.